Molecule: unclassified non-coding RNA, 309 nt
Filed under: Hevea brasiliensis (rubber tree)
Lineage: Eukaryota; Viridiplantae; Streptophyta; Magnoliopsida; Malpighiales; Euphorbiaceae
Source: RNAcentral
UGGUGGCACUGGUUCUGGUUUGGGUUCGUUGUUGUUAGAGCGCUUGUCAGUGGAUUAUGGGAAGAAAUCAAAGCUUGGUUUCACCAUCUACCCAUCUCCUCAGGUUUCAACUGCUGUCGUGGAGCCUUACAACAGCGUUCUUUCUACUCAUUCUCUUCUUGAGCAUACGGAUGUUGCUGUUCUUCUAGACAAUGAAGCUAUAUACGACAUUUGUAGGAGAUCUCUUGAUAUCGAUAGGCCUACAUAUACCAACUUGAAUAGAUUGAUAUCUCAAAUUAUUUCAUCCUUAACCACUUCAUUGAGAUUUGA